CGCAGCCAGCUGCGAGAUUUGGUGUGAAUUGCAGGACACAUUGAGCACUGAUUUUUCGAACGCACAUUGCGGCCUCGGGUUCUGCCCGGGGCCUCGCCUGUCUGAGGGUCGGAUAAGACUUGCAAAGGAAAUUCUCAUUUCCAAUUGGCCGCGUCGGAGUCCCUCUUGCGGGGGCUUCGUCGGCUCAAGUAUCCUUAGGAUCCUCCCCGGUCGAAAGAGCAACAAGCCCUUGAGCAAUGCUCGUCGCUCGGAGAAGACGGACCACGUUUCUCCACCGAAGACGAGACGGCUUGAAGCUGAGAAGACCACUCGAAGGGGAAAGCGAACCUACUAGAGGCCCUACGGCUCUCUCCUAACUUUUAACUUUGACGACCUCAGAUCAGACGAGAUAACCCGCUGAAUUUAAGCAUAUC
This 413-nucleotide ribosomal RNA is filed under the name Poltys sp. E MG-2015. RNAcentral describes it as "eukaryotic LSU rRNA". The stretch from base 1 to 111 matches the Rfam family "5.8S ribosomal RNA", at positions 44 to 154 of the family's 154-position model. Lineage: Eukaryota; Metazoa; Arthropoda; Arachnida; Araneae; Araneidae. The record is from RNAcentral.